UACAGAGGGUGCGAGCGUUGUCCGGAAUCACUGGGCGUAAAGGGCGCGUAGGCGGCCUGUUAAGUCGGGUGUGAAAGCCCUGGGCUCGACCCAGGAAGUGCACUCGAAACUGGCGGGCUUGAAUAUGGAAGAGGGUCGCGGAAUUCCCGGUGUAGAGGUGAAAUUCGUAGAUAUCGGGAGGAACACCAGUGGCGAAGGCGGCGACCUGGGCCAAUAUUGACGCUGAGGUGCGAAAGCGUGGGGAGCAAACAGG
Molecule: ribosomal RNA, 253 nt
Filed under: uncultured bacterium
Lineage: Bacteria
Description: partial 16S ribosomal RNA
Rfam family: Bacterial small subunit ribosomal RNA
Source: RNAcentral